Long non-coding RNA from Carassius auratus (goldfish), 578 nucleotides. RefSeq lists it as uncharacterized. NCBI's taxonomy places the organism in Eukaryota, Metazoa, Chordata, Actinopteri, Cypriniformes, Cyprinidae. The record is from RefSeq and is a predicted model, not a curated record. The transcript has 5 exons.
AUUGUUUCAUUUGUUUUGCAGGUCUGAAGUUUUAUGCACUGGAAGAAAUGAAGAUGCAAUGCCCAGUGAAAACAGAUGAAUUUUAAUAAGACACACUUUUGUCAGUGAGAGAUGCAUCCUUCAUAUUAUUCAGUGAACAAACAGGGGAAGACACCAUGAUUCUCCAACCAUCUACAAAAUAUUUAUGAUUCAAAAGAUUCAUUUAUGCUUGAAAGAUUCAAUGAUGUGAGACUCCUAAUCUCCCGGGAAGAAUCUCCUAAAAACGAUUAGUCGAUUGGGAUUGACAGUACGAGAGAGGACACAAGCAGCCCGCUGUCUGGGAAUCAUAAUGAAUCAGGAGGAGUUUUCCAGAGAGUUUUCAAUGGCUUGGUCUCAUGAGCUCACCAACAAAAACUGAAGAGCCAAAAAUACACCAUCCAUCAAAACACUGAUAGACCAGAGACUCAGUAGACGCACUUCUGUACCCUUCACACAUGUGCCAUGACUCCACCAACACGUGUUAGGAAUGACUGGACUCCGAGGUCAGUCCCUCAGGAUUUGUGGUUGAAGAGUGAAGGCUAGGUCUCUGGGUUGGGCGU